ACUUCAAAUAAAUAAUUCUAACCCUAACCCUAAAUAUAAUUCAAUAACUUAUUAUUUCACACUUUUUAAAGUUAAAAAAAUUAUAAUUUAUAAAGUAUGGCCAUAUGAUAUGGAUCUUCAUUCGCAAUCUUUAUCCAUCGUAAUAAAAAUGAAUAUUAUUAUUCUGGAUUUCAAGGAUAAGAUUUAGACGACAAAUUAAUUCUGACGAUCUGGAACAGCAUUUAAUUCUUCAGGCGCUGAUAAUAUUACGGGUGACGAUCCGAAUAGCCGAUUAUAGAAGAUUAAAUAGUAGAUAAAUGGAUCAAAAUUUCACGAAAGGGAAGAAACCGAAAAACUAAAAACAAAAGACGAAGAAAAAAAAAAUCGAUGUAAAACUAAGAUAAACCACAAACCCUAACUACAAUAAUGUUGCAGAUUGUUCGAGGCCGUUUGCAGAAUCAAAACUCUGCAAGGCACGGAGAACUGCAAUCGUUUUACUAUCGCCAACCUUCAAUGCAAAAAUUACGUUAUCAAAUAACACGCUUUUGCUCUGCAAAUUGGCUACUGUGGUCUAAUCUAUACAAAACAAAUCCAAAAAAAUCCAACGAUCAUCAUGUCGCAGUUUGUUCGAGGCCGUUUACAGAAUCAAAACUCGGCAAGGCACGGAGAACUGCAAAAAAAAAUUACUAUUGCCAACCUUCAACGCAAAAUUACAUCAUCAAACAACACGCUUUUGCUCUGCAAAUUGGCUUCUAUGAUCUAAUUAAUCUCUAAAUGGCUACAUCUCCAAAACAACAUAGAAAACGAGAAAAAACCUAACGAAGAACUGAUAAAGAGAAGAAACCAGCGAAGAAGCAC
Molecule: long non-coding RNA, 837 nt
Filed under: Zostera marina
Lineage: Eukaryota; Viridiplantae; Streptophyta; Magnoliopsida; Alismatales; Zosteraceae
Description: long non-coding RNA (ZMAR_LNC002200)
Source: RNAcentral